GUUAUUUAUUUAUUUAUUUAUUUAUUUUUAUUUCUUACUUUUUAAUGUGAAUGUUAAGUGAACAUUCCAAUUUAUAAUUUUGCAAACAUUAUGGGAAUGGUACACUUGAAGGUUCUCUGAACAUUCUGAAACAUAAAAAAAAAACGUUUCAUGAAUGAUGCUAAAUAACGUUUUUGUGCUAACAUUUUGAGAACAUUCUUAAGAAGGCUUGCACUGUAAGUGUCACAGACUCAGCCACAACAUCAGCGCCAGACCCUACAACUCCACCCACUCGUUCAAACUCACCUGAAUACUAAUCACCUGGCAUGCUUAUUAGGACUCUGUUAUAUACUCACCAGUCUCCACACAUCCUUGUCUGGUUUCAUCACUCACUACCAUGUGCAUGAACUUACCAGACCACUUACCUGCCAAGUGGAUUCCUACCUAUCAUUGUCAUCCUCAUCUUCCUUGUAUCAACCAACAUAACUUCAUACCAGCAAAAGAUAAAGAGACAUUCUAUCAAUAGUUAAAUGACGACUCAGUGACUUUCACAAUACUGUUGACUUCUCUGAUUCAUUCCUUGUUGAACCUGUAACUUUGAAUCUGCCGUUUCCUCAUCUGUUUAUGACACAAGACCAGACCUAAAAUACUACAAGAUGGAAUCAGGACCGUCUUACCAGUCAACAACCGAUCCAUUUGCCGAUCUAGUCCAGUCACUCCGUCAGUCACUACAUCCACCAGUCACAGUCAAAGCACUGAACAUUCAUUCCAUUCUGGGGAAAUUGCUGGGAUGAGGAGUAAUCACACACUGCACCCCCACACUCACACUUCACAUUGGCUGUUUUCACAAAGGAAAUUUCGUUUCUGGUGCUGGAGGGCUCAACUGCAGAUAUCAUCCUGGGACGCCCGUGGAUGCAAACUCACUCACAUCUCCUGGUCGAUUGGUGACAUUCUGUCAUGGAGCGACCACUGUUACCACUGUCUUCAACUUCCUCACAAACUGGUGAAGAAUCAUCAUCAAGUGUCUCUCAACUCUACUACCAUCGAAAGUCCCACUCCUACAACUCAAGUGGAGAUCCCCAGUAAGUUCCGGGCGCUCCGGGAUGUAUUCAGCAUACAACUGGCUACAAAGUUACCACCUCAUCGGCCAUGGGACUGUGCCAUCGAGCUGCUGCCUGGAGCCACAUUGUUUGAAGGUAAAAUCUACCCACUAUUGAUCCUGGAGAAGCAGGCCAUGUAGGAGAAUAUCGAGGAAGUUCUCAACCAAGGUUACAUUCGUCCUUCUACCUCCCCUGAGCCUUCCAGCUUUUUCUUCGUGGCUAAGAAGGACGAAGGCUUGAAUUCCCUGCAUUGAUUACCAUACUCUCAAUGAACAAACCAUCAAGAUCCGCUAUCCACUUCUUCUGGUCCCUGCUGCUUUGGAACAACUGAGGGGAGCACAUGUAUUCACCAAGCUGCGUAACGCAUAAAACCUCAUCCUGAUACGGAAGGGUGAUGAUUGGAAGACCGACUUUGUAACACCAUCAGACCACUUUGAAUAUCUGGUCAUGCCAUACAGGGCUGUGUAACUCACCUUCCGUAUUCCAGGUAUUUAUGAAUGAGGUGUUCCGGGAGAACCUCCAUCACUUUUUCAUCCAUUACAUCAACGACAUCCUGAUCUACACCCGGAACCAGGCUGAACAUCGCCAACACGUUACCAGGUCCUGCAAAAGCUACGAGAACAUUAGCUUUGGAGUUUAUCCUCAGGCUACCAUCCACAGUCCAAUGGGCAGACAGAAAUGAAGAUCCAAGAAAUCGGAUGUUACCUGCAGUCAUACUGCCACAACCUGGGCAGAGUAUGCUCAGAAUUUUCUUCAUCAGAACUCUACUGGAUUAACACCUUUCCAAUGCAUACUCAGUUUCCAACCAUCCCUGUUCCCUGGUCAGGUGAGCCAUCGGAAGUCCCAGCUGUGAAACACUGUUUCCAGGAAAGCGAAAGGGUCUGGGACUCAGCUCAUAUCCAUCUGCAGAGGGCAGUAAGGAGGCAUAAGAGCCAGACCAACCUAAAAAAAUCUGUGACUCCCAUCUACCACCCAGGGCAGAAGGUCUGGCUCUCCAUCAGGGACAUCUGCCUCCGACUGCCCUGUCAUAAGCUGAGUACCCGUUACAUCGGGUCUGUCGCAACGCAUGUACCUCCUCCUCCAGUGGAAUCAGAAGAGGGGCUCAUCUACACUGUCUGUGACAUCUUGGACUCCCGAUGACUGGGCGGUCGUCUCAAAUACCUCGCCGACUGGGAGGGAUAUGGUCCCAAUUAAAGAUCUUGGGUACCACAAGAUGACAUACUCUGUUAUAUACUCACCAGUCUCCACACAUCCUUUUCUAGUCUCAUCGCUCACUACCGUGUGCAUGGACUUACCUGACCAUAAAAACAUAAAAAAAAAAAACGUUUCAUGAAUGAUGCUAAAUAACGUUUUUGUGCUAACAUUUUGAGAACAUUCUUAAGAAGGCUUGCACUGUAAGUGUCACAGACUCAGCCACAACAUCAGCGCCAGACCCUACAACUCCACCCACUCGUUCAAACUCACCCGAAUACUAAUCACCUGGCAUGCUCAUUAGGACUCUGUUAUAUACUCACCAGUCUCCACACAUCCUUGUCUGGUUUCGACACUCACUACCAUGUGCAUGAACUUACCAGACCAAUUACCUGCCAAGUGGAUUCCUACCUAUCAUUGUCAUCCUCAUCUUCCUUGUAUCAACCAGAAUAACUUCAUACCUGCAAAGGAUAAAGAGACAUUCUAUCAAAAGUCAAGUGACGACUCAGUGACUUUCACAAUACUGUUGACUUCUCUGAUUCAUUCCUACAAUAAAGAACCUGUAACUGAA
Molecule: long non-coding RNA, 2841 nt
Organism: Ctenopharyngodon idella (grass carp)
Lineage: Eukaryota; Metazoa; Chordata; Actinopteri; Cypriniformes; Xenocyprididae
Exons: 2
Source: RefSeq, a predicted model, not a curated record